Molecule: non-coding RNA, 510 nt
Organism: Arachis ipaensis
Lineage: Eukaryota; Viridiplantae; Streptophyta; Magnoliopsida; Fabales; Fabaceae
Source: RefSeq, a predicted model, not a curated record
GGGUACAGUACCUCGUAAGCUAUAUUACCGUCUAUCAUCGUAAUUAUUUUUGUUAACAUCUUCUUUUAUGAAUGUAGUGAGACAUAUGAAAUAUCAAGUGACGAACUCGAUGAAUGGCUAAGGGAAAACGUUGAUAAAUCUGCUGCAGAGGGGGAGAACCAACAUGACCUGCGAUCGACAGAAGGUCGCUAUGUGUCCUCUGAAACAAUACCGGCUGUGAACUUGGGAAGUGAUGGUCCUUCCUCUCAAGGACGCACAGAAUAGAGUAGUGUAAACCAGCCGUCACAGAGCAUGUUGAGUCCGGCUGAUUCGAAUGUGAUGGUUGUGAGGGAACAGACACCGUCCGAAGCACUUGCAAUAGUCCCGAUUCAGGUUUUUGUGCCGACAUCCCAAACAACCACUGAGACAGAUUUUGAACCAACCCCUAUGCUACAGAUUGAAGGGACUACAGAAACCACUCCUGAACCCCCCAAACAACUUCAAGAGACCACACCCACGCUUCCCCCAGCU